UGCCAGCAGCCGCGGUAAUACGUAGGGUGCGAGCGUUGUUCGGAAUUACUGGGCGUAAAGGGCGUGAAGUCGGAUUGUCAAGCCGGAGGUGAAAGCCCGGGGCUCAACCCCGGAGGGUCUUUCGGAACUGACAGUCUUGAGAGGGUCAGGGGCCAGCGGAAUUCCUGGUGUAGAGGUGAAAUUCGUAGAGAUCAGGAGGAACACCGGCGGCGAAAGCGGCUCACUGGAUCGAUACUGACGCUGAGGUGCGAAAGUGUGGGGAGCAAACAGGAUUAGAUA
RNAcentral lists this ribosomal RNA (279 nucleotides) under uncultured bacterium. RNAcentral's name for it is "partial 16S ribosomal RNA". It matches the Rfam family "Bacterial small subunit ribosomal RNA", at positions 506 to 784 of the family's 1533-position model. The record is from RNAcentral.